CUACGGGGUGCUCCAGUGGGGAAUUUUGCGCAAUGGGGGAAACCCUGACGCAGCAAUACCGCGUGAGUGAAGAAGGCCUUUGGGUCGUAAAGCUCUUUUCUUGGGGAAGAUAGUGACGGUACCCAAGGAAUAAGCACCGGCUAACUCCGUGCCAGCAGCCGGCGGUAAUACGGAGGGUGCAAGCGUUGUUCGGAUUUACUGGGCGUAAAGGGCACGUAGGCGGCACAGCAAGUUAAGGGUGAAAUCCCGGGGCUCAACUCCGGAACUGCUCUUAAAACUGCUGAGCUAGAGAUAGUCAGAGGCGGGUGGAAUUCCAGGUGUAGAGGUGAAAUUCGUAGAUAUCUGGAGGAACACCGGUGGCGAAGGCGGCCCGCUGGGGCUAUUCUGACGCUAAGGUGCGAAAGCGUGGGGAGCAAACGGGAUUAGAUACCCCCGUAGUC
Molecule: ribosomal RNA, 440 nt
Filed under: uncultured bacterium
Lineage: Bacteria
Description: partial 16S ribosomal RNA
Rfam family: Bacterial small subunit ribosomal RNA
Source: RNAcentral